RNAcentral lists this ribosomal RNA (443 nucleotides) under uncultured bacterium. Its description in RNAcentral is "partial 16S ribosomal RNA". It matches the Rfam family "Bacterial small subunit ribosomal RNA", at positions 338 to 795 of the family's 1533-position model. The record is from RNAcentral.
CCUACGGGAGGCAGCAGUGGGGGAUAUUGGACAAUGGGGGGAACCCUGAUCCAGCGACGCCGCGUGAGUGAAGAAGUAUUUCGGUAUGUAAAGCUCUGUCAGCAGGGAAGAAAGAAAUGACGUAACCUGACAAAGAAGCCCCGGCUAAUUACGUGCCAGAAGCCGCGGUAAUACGGAGGGGGCAAGCGUUGUCCGGAAUUAAUGGGUGAAAAGGGAGCGUAGAGGGUUAAGUAAGUCUGGAGUGAAAGGCCGGGGCCCAACCCCGGGACUGCUCUGGAAACUAUUGAACUUGAGUGCAGGAGAGGUAAACGGAAUUCCUAGUGUCGCGGUGAAAUGCGUAGAUAUUAGGAGGAACACCAGUGGCGAAGGCGGCUUACUGGACUGUAACUGACGUUGAGGCUCGAAAGCGUGGGGAGCAAACAGGAUUAGAUACCCCUGUAGUC